GAUGAAGAACGUAGUGAAAUGCGAUACGUAAUGUGAAUUGCAGAAUUCAGUGAAUCAUCGAGUCUUUGAACGAACAUUGCGCCCCCUGGUAUUCCGGGGGGCAUGCCUGUCCGAGCGUCAUUGCUGCCCUCAAGCACGGCUUGUGUGUUGGGCCUCCGUCCUCCUCCCGGGGGACGGGCCCGAAAGGCAGCGGCGGCACCGCGUCCGGUCCUCGAGCGUAUGGGGCUUCGUCACCCGCUCUUGUAGGCCCGGCCGGCGCUUGCCGACACAUCAAUCUUUUUUCCAGGUUGACCUCGGAUCAGGUAGGGAUACCCGCUGAACUUAAGCAUAUCAAUAAGCGGAGGA
RNAcentral lists this unclassified non-coding RNA (345 nucleotides) under soil metagenome. RNAcentral describes it as "partial contains 5.8S ribosomal RNA, internal transcribed spacer 2, and large subunit ribosomal RNA". The stretch from base 1 to 120 matches the Rfam family "5.8S ribosomal RNA", at positions 35 to 154 of the family's 154-position model. The record is from RNAcentral.